Gadus macrocephalus (Pacific cod) is the source of this 2986-nucleotide long non-coding RNA. RefSeq lists it as uncharacterized. The record is from RefSeq and is a predicted model, not a curated record. NCBI's taxonomy places the organism in Eukaryota, Metazoa, Chordata, Actinopteri, Gadiformes, Gadidae. The transcript is spliced from 2 exons.
GGAAGACCAGCUUGGUGAAGCUCCUCUUGUCGUCCUCAGAGUAGCCCGUGCCGUGGAUGAUCCUCAUCUGCUUGAUGAAGGUGCUCUUGCCGCUCUCUCCCGUGCCUGCAGACAAACACCACCGGACCAGAAUCAUUCCGCUGUGGUUAUGGCUGUCGAUCCGAAUGGGAAAGCGAAAGCAGAAGGUUCAACCAAAAAGGUUAUAGUACUUAUCAGAGGGAACUUAUUGUACACCACGAAGAGGAACAUACAUAUAAUCCUACGUUUAUAAAGACGGAUGGGGAAAGGUCAAUUGUUAGAUAGAUACAAUUUAUUAUCGACAUCUUUGAUUGCUUCAAGAGAUGACGUUGAAGCCAUAUCCCUCGCUGUAUAGGGCUGUUUUUUCUGAUGGAUAACUUCCCCAAAAAAAGAGUUCGACCUUUUAAGAAUGCAUCUGCAGCAAAAUGAGCGUCUCCCUAGCUGGCAGUGGCUCAAGGCCCCAGCUGCAGUAACACCGUUACUCCAUGCUAUUAUUUCCCUCCAGUGUACUAAGCUGACAUUUUCUGUCUGGUGCUUUUGUUGAUGGUUUCAUCUGAGGCCGCUUAGGCUCAUUCCAAUACUCUAACCCAGUAGAAGUUAAUAUUUUACCACAGAAAAGGGGACCACAGGCCGCCGGGAGUGAUUCAGGCCUGGUUCUUGUAAAGCCACGUGAACCAAGCGAGGGUUUCCCAUAAAGAAGGGAGAACAAAGAAAGUAUGUUUUAUGAGAACCUUUGAAACUUUGGUUUCAGCGACUUUCAAUUGCUUGAACUGCUUUGAUUUGUUUGCACAUAAGCUAGAGAAAAACAAAUAAGCAAGAGAGAAAAGCAAAUAGAAUGAGGAGGGGCGGGGGGGAGAAAACACAAAGACAUUCUGAGUCUGUUUCAACAUACGACGGUGCGACAUGUUGACGAGUUUCAACACGUCUGUUUGACUGUGCAUUUACCUGUGCGAGCGUAUGUGCUACGUGUGUGUGUCACACACAUUAGCUCUACGGUAGCUGUCAACCCCCAGUGAAUCAAAGGUGUGUGUGUGUGUGUGUGUGUGUGUGUGUGUGUGUGUGUGUGUGUGUGUGUGUGUGUGUGUGUGUGUGUGUAUGUUGGAAAGUUUAACAUGGGCUGACAGGUCAUAUAUUUCUAUAUCUUUGAGCCUGUCCUCUAAGCACACCGACAUCACUUCCUUCAGACUCGCCUAGUGUUGGUGCAUGGAGUGGAUGCUACGCAGUGUCAUGUGAGCUGCGCUGCCAGCCUGUCAAAUUGUUCAUUUAACACAUGAAAGAAACAAGCCUUCCAUUUAUUCAUUUCAACCCCUCCUACUUUGAGCAUGAAUGAGACUGCCAAACUAUCAAAUAAGAACGACGGAAGACUAUUGCAUAUAUUCUAUAAAAAAUUAGGGCCGUAGACGUUUUAUUUACUUCCCUUUAAUUAUUUACAUAAUUAAAGGCUACAAAACCUUGUAUCUGCAAAUUCUGCAUUGUAUUUGUAUUAUUAUUUCAUUCAAGAUUAUUUUGUGCUAAUAUUGUGAUUUUUAUUGUGAAGAAGAGUUGUCACCUAGCGAUAAUGAUAUAUAACAGUGAUGUACACAAUUCAAUUCAGAGAAUUCCCUUAGGAACAUAGAUAAUCUUCAUUAUCUUUUGUAUACAUUUUGCCUUCGACUUCAUGUCUUCGCUUUGGCAAAUAAUUGAGAUGAUACUGAAACUGCAUUGGUUUAUGCUUAUAUGUAAUCAUCACGCAAUGAUGGAGCCGUUUGUAAAACCAUGACUGAUUGGCGAUUUGUUGGAAAGCUGGGCAAUGAGAGGAGAGGAAAUGUUGACUGGUAGGAAUUAAGAUGGAAGUUUAACUCAACUGAGAUAACGUGAUUAGCUUUUAAAACGCUGCAUGUUUAGUAUAACUAGUGGCAUACAGGAGGUCCACCAGUGCACAAAGAGGAUGUGAAAACCCACUGCUCAUAUGCUUCGUAGCCUGAACGGAGUCACAUGGAGAGAGCACCACUUUGGGGUUUGAAAAGCGGUUGCAGAGUGCUGUACCACUUUAUACAGACAACCGACAUGAUGUGCCGGAGCAGAGUUAUAACAUAUUAUCUUUUUUCUGUGAUUCUUAAUUUGCCCAUUGUAAUACAUAAAUGAUUCCCAGAAUGCAGAGCGCUGUAACAGCACAAUGGGAGCCACAUGUUUUAUAGGAAGUAGAGAGUACUCUGCAUUUGAUGCUUAGUCUGAAAGACAUCUAGUGAAUUAGAUUGCAAGACUGUAUCACACCGCCCUACUCUAUGUAACCAUAAGCAAAUGUUGAAUACAAUAUUACAGCAUGUCACAGCGUGUUUUUGGGGUUGUUUAGUUGACGUUCUAUUUUUAAAACUGUUCAACAUAUAGGAUUUUUGUUUGUUUUAUGACUACUUGGUGGCCAUAUUAGCACUGAAAUUGUGCACCAAAGCUCAGUCCAAAUGGCUAAAUGAGUAGAAAAUAUUGCAAGGCUUAGAGAAGAACAUAAAAUGGGCUGCCAGUAGGCUAUAUUGAAUUACACAUCAUCAAUAUGAAUUAAAUAGGGAUUACGUCUGCUCUCUGUGUGUCUCUUGCGGGUCAGUGUGCAGUGUUUGAUCUAAGAACACAGCCACACAUCCCAUUUGGUUUGACUCACUGAAACAACAUCCAUAUGCGUCAAGUCUUAGUGCCCCAGGUAUCACAUCAAGUUGACACCUUCAUUGAUUCCUGCUUUAAUAUUGAACUUGCAAGGCAGGCUGGAUGUCCAGUACAUACAUACAUUCUGAACUUCAAUGACAGGGAUGGAUGAGGUCGAUGCUGAGUUUGAUGUCCUCCUAAACCCUACUACGGUUAAGAUAAGUAGACUGAAUGGGGUCUUGUGAUGACGAUGAAUGGAGUGACUGAAGUUCCAUCAUGGGUGCAGUCAUCUAUUAUAUCUUCCCUAAAUAACUUAUUGGAAGGGAACAUAAAAAAAUUGUUUUUAACGUGGAUC